UGCCUAAACCCAGCAGAAAUGCGGGGCAUGGCACAGAAACCAAGUGCAUACUGAACCCAUCGUUCAGGCUCCAUGCACUUGGUCAUACCCCGAAAGGGGUAUGGACGGCUUCGGCUGUC
RNAcentral lists this small RNA (119 nucleotides) under unclassified sequences. RNAcentral's name for it is "LOOT RNA". It matches the Rfam family "LOOT RNA". From Rfam's summary of the family: Latescibacteria, OD1/Parcubacteria, OP11, TM7. Lineage (Microgenomates, aka OP11) The record is from Rfam by way of RNAcentral.